Molecule: long non-coding RNA, 1454 nt
Organism: Nicotiana attenuata
Lineage: Eukaryota; Viridiplantae; Streptophyta; Magnoliopsida; Solanales; Solanaceae
Exons: 3
Source: RefSeq, a predicted model, not a curated record
CCGAAACACAUGCAAGUUUAGACAUAACAUAGUCUUUCUCCACGUCUAGACAUAAUACUUCAAGUUGCCUAGCCACAAAACAAAAAUAGUUAUAGUUCCGUAAUGUUCAGUGUAUUUCCUCAUCCCCAUUUUGUAUGGGUCUAAUUCUCAUCCCCUUUUCUUAGUUUUCGGCUGCAAAUUCCUUACUAUAGGUAGCAUUUGCUUUGUAAUUAGUUAGUGUUGAGUUAGUUAAUACAAUCAGUUGGUUUUGUAUAUUAUCUGGGUUGUUUCAUUGGUGUCCAAAGGUCUAAUGGGGGACCAAAAGUACUCAAGGCUUUCGCUGAUUCCAUUCAAUAAAUGAAGGAUUGCCUUUCUAACGAUCGCGCUGAAUUUCGUUCAUGUUGUGGGGAAAAAGGCUACGACCUCUUUUUAACCCGAAGACGCUACCAUGGUCGCCAAAUUAUGGCGGUUUUGAGGCGAGAAUCUGGAGGCUUGGAUAUUCCAAGCGGAGCGUUAAGCUUACCAUAGCGGUGAAGAAUUCGAAUGGUACUGGUGGUUAUUUCGUAACAAGCAAUUAAUUGAUUGGCCGCAUUUUGCUGAUAAGGUGAAAAUUCGAUUAAACAGAAAGGGCUCGAGUCGGUUAAAGGGAGAUUAGCGAAACUCCGGCAGGUUACCUCUGUGGCUCAGUACCAAAGUCAUUUUGAAGCUAUUUCGUGGUGCUUCAGUAAGUCAAUGUAGUUUCUCCAUGCUUUGCAUAUGUUCAUCCACAAUGGAGCAUAUUACCAACUCACCUUUGCCGCAAAGCUACGAUGAGCAAUCUGAAUGCAUUAGCAAAACAGGUGCGCGCAAGGUGUUCGAUGAAUCGUCUGAUAGGUCCAAAAUGCAAAUACUCUUGGUACAACUACUGAGGCAGAUUCUAUUGAUCUGGCUUAUCCUGUCUCUGUGAAGGCUGAUGUGUGUGUAUGUGCUUGUUGUUCUAAUAUGGAAAUGGUGUCGGUUGCGGCAUUUGCAUGCGUGAAGUGUAAGAGGGAAGAAGAUAAAAACUGCACACAAGUCUUGUUCCAAGAAGCAAAAAUCAUAGGUCAUCCGGGCAGCGGAUUCUUUGCAGAAAACAAUUAUGUUCGGCUCGGCCUAGUGACGCGUGAGCAUGACUUUGAUAUGUUGAUUCCUUGUUUGGAACAAUUGAUUUCUCAAGAAGAUGAAAAUGGCGUAUGCACUAUAUAAUCAGCGGAUUGAACUACACUCAGCAUUUUUUACAACAUAAAUAUUGAAUUCAUCAUAACAGUUCAACUCAGUGCCAUGGCAAAUAAACAUAAUAUAUAUGAGGUGUCCAAGACUCGAAAGGCAGAGUUGCAAGAACUGCUUCACUCUACGCUGCAAGCUAAAGAUAGUGAAUGAAGCUACAAGCAGAGAAAUUGGAAGCUUGGCAUUCAAUUCGUGUUGUCCCAUUUCUUGUAGCCAGGAAACCAUUUUGG